UUCGAUAUUGUCUCUAAGGAUGUGGGUGUUCCUGUUGUAGCAUUUUCUCUCAGGGACAGCAGCAAAUAUACGGUAUUUGAAGUAUCUGAGCAUCUCAGAAGAUUUGGAUGGAUCGUCCCUGCAUACACAAUGCCACCGGAUGCUGAACACAUUGCUGUGCUGCGGGUUGUCAUUAGAGAGGAUUUCAGCCACAGCCUAGCUGAGAGACUUGUUUCUGACAUUGAGAAAAUUCUGUCAGAGUUGGACACACAGCCUCCUCGUUUGCCCACCAAAGCUGUCCGUGUCACUGCUGAGGAAGUGCGUGAUGACAAGGGUGAUGGGCUUCAUCAUUUUCACAUGGAUACUGUAGAGACUCAGAAAGACAUUAUCAAACAUUGGAGGAAAAUCGCAGGGAAGAAGACCAGCGGAGUCUGCUAGGUCUG
RNAcentral lists this long non-coding RNA (422 nucleotides) under Solanum lycopersicum (tomato). Its description in RNAcentral is "long non-coding RNA (SLYC_LNC001354)". Lineage: Eukaryota; Viridiplantae; Streptophyta; Magnoliopsida; Solanales; Solanaceae. The record is from RNAcentral.